This 497-nucleotide ribosomal RNA is filed under the name uncultured bacterium. Its description in RNAcentral is "partial 16S ribosomal RNA". It matches the Rfam family "Bacterial small subunit ribosomal RNA", at positions 28 to 507 of the family's 1533-position model. The record is from RNAcentral.
GACGAACGCUGGCGGCGUGCCUAAUACAUGCAAGUUGAGCGAUGAAGCUUGGUGCUUGCACCAAUUUGAAGAGCAGCGAACGGGUGAGUAACGCGUGGGGAAUCUGCCUUUGAGCGGGGGACAACAUUUGGAAACGAAUGCUAAUACCGCAUAACAACUUUAAACAUAAGUUUUAAGUUUGAAAGAUGCAAUUGCAUCACUCAAAGAUGAUCCCGCGUUGUAUUAGCUAGUUGGUGAGGUAAAGGCUCACCAAGGCGAUGAUACAUAGCCGACCUGAGAGGGUGAUCGGCCACAUUGGGACUGAGACACGGCCCAAACUCCUACGGGAGGCAGCAGUAGGGAAUCUUCGGCAAGGGACGGAAGUCUGACCGAGCAACGCCGCGUGAGGGAAGAAGGGUUUCGGAUCGUAAAACUCUGUUGGUAGAGAAGAACGUUGGUGAGAGUGGAAAGCUCAUCAAGUGACGGUAACUACCCAGAAAGGGACGGCUAACUACGUG